This is a long non-coding RNA of Lolium perenne, 705 nucleotides long. RefSeq lists it as uncharacterized. The record is from RefSeq and is a predicted model, not a curated record. NCBI's taxonomy places the organism in Eukaryota, Viridiplantae, Streptophyta, Magnoliopsida, Poales, Poaceae.
CAUUUUAUGUAGCAUGGAUGGCAAAUUUGCGAAAGUAUUCUGCCACUGUCAUGCUCCUUUAUGUACACUUACUAAAUGGUAUCAAUUUAAUAAUCUUCUUAAUAUAUAAGUUCUUAGCAUAUUUUAUUUUGCCUUGCAGGCAAAAACUGAUCAAGAUGAGAAACAUUAUAAUUGAUGCAAAAUCUGUGGUUAUUGGGGCAGGUUUGUGUAAUUUCAAGGUACCAUGACUUUAGAAUUCAGCACCUACCCCUCCUCUGAUGUGGUGUUGUGAGAGCAAGAAAAAGAGCAGGCAUGCUCUAUCUCUACAUCGAGCGUUCACAUGGCCAGAUUGACGGGAAUAAACUGUGGGUGAAACUUGAUUGCAGACAGCCGGGAAAGAGUUUUCCAACAUUUGUCCCUGCUACAAGAUUUAUUGUUAAGCUGGUCUGGUAGUCUGCUCCUCCGGAGAUGCUGCAAAUGGUGCUACCUCGCCAUGAAGCUCGUCACCCAUGUGCAGCGGGUGGACACUGUCUGGGCUUACAACUUCGAAGCAUGAAGGUGACAGUACGAUGUGCCCCUUCCCCUGCUGUUCUACCUGCAGACGCAGUUUACGCCCGUGGCCUCGCUGUCUAGGUCAGAGUUGGGGCCUGGAUCUGGACGAGGAACAGAAUAUCCCGGCGAACAUCGCCCAUGCCGGCGGCUCGAGAGAUGCGGGGUGACAGUGAG